This 623-nucleotide long non-coding RNA is filed under the name Mustela putorius furo (domestic ferret). RNAcentral's name for it is "lncRNA (ENSMPUG00000030434.1)". The record is from RNAcentral. Lineage: Eukaryota; Metazoa; Chordata; Mammalia; Carnivora; Mustelidae.
GCUAGAGUAGAACAUUUGUGCUGGCCAGAUUCAAGCCCACGAAGCCUGCUUCUAGAUCUGUGCUCUUAGCCACCUUACCACCGAAGAGAAUUCCAGACAAGUUUCUCAGAGAGGGCUCCUUGGAAAGACAUCUGGAGGGGAUUCCAAGUAGCAAAAAAGGACCUGGACUUGGAGACAAGCCCCACAGAAAGGACGGGAAGGCAGGGAGUCUUCAGUGGAACAGCAGACUCUACUGCUGCCCCUGGGAUCUGGUUCUCUUCUGCUUCUGGACACAGGAAGGAUGGAGAACAUAAGCUCAACAGGGCAGAAAUCCAGCCACCUUUGUACGCCACCGCGAUCCUGGUACCCAGCACGUGGCGGGUCACACGGGGGCACACAAUCAGUGCGUGGUGAAGAGUGGGUGAGCCUGCCGGAUCGCAUGUGGUGCAUUCAAAAGGCCAAAGGGGCUCAGUGCCAAGCUCAUGCCCUCCCUGGAUAUAGCCUCGGCGUCUGUCCCACAGCCAUUCACCGACUUCUUUGCCUUUCCCCUCCCAGUGACAUCGUGAAACUUACAUGGUUUGCCCUUUCGGCCCACUUUACAGGAAGAGGAUAUCCUGCAGAAAUUAAAGAAAGGUGGGAUGUUU